RNAcentral lists this long non-coding RNA (322 nucleotides) under Androctonus crassicauda. Lineage: Eukaryota; Metazoa; Arthropoda; Arachnida; Scorpiones; Buthidae. The record is from RNAcentral.
GUUUGUGAAGUCCUGCUAAGAGAUGGUGCGUUGCAGCAGGAUGUUGGAUGUAUGGGUUACACAUCGAGAACUUUGAAUGGAAGGUUGAAGGAGCAUAGAAGGGAUAUUGGGAGGAACGCAUCAUCUACGACAUUAGCGCAAAGAGCCUUACUGGCAGGUUUGACUAUUGGAUGGGACGAAUCUGGAUUACUAUGUGAACAGGAUCCUAGAAGGGGCAGAAUGGCUGGGGCGAUCGCGAUAUACACGAACAAGACUUCGCAAAUCAAGCCGAUCAGCGGGGUCGAUCUGGUGACGUUGGGCACCGCAUGGAGGUCCUGUAUUG